GGAGCUGACGGUGCCUCGACCGCAUUAACCAACCUGGUAAAUUCCGGAGCAGCAGUAUGGAACUUGAAGACCGCGUAAGAUCCGAAAGAAAACGUGGACAUGACAUUGAUCGUAGCUUCUUCCCUCUCACAGAGGCUUCUGAACCUCGACCAGGAUGCCUUCUUGAUAAUCGUCCUCCAGCCCUCGCGCCCCGCCACCGUAAUUCGCCUCCACCCCUGGCGCCACGCCCCCAUUGUCCUCUAACUCAGUGCGGCU
Molecule: long non-coding RNA, 255 nt
Filed under: Rosa chinensis
Lineage: Eukaryota; Viridiplantae; Streptophyta; Magnoliopsida; Rosales; Rosaceae
Description: sRNA RchiOBHm_Chr1g0331131
Source: RNAcentral